AACGAACGCUGGUGGUAUGCCUAAUACAUGCAAGUCGAACGAGAAAGCUCUUCGGAGUGAGUAAAGUGGCGCACGGGUGAGUAACGCGUAGGUGAUCUGCCUUUUAGUGGAGGACAACAUCGGGAAACCGGUGCUAAUACUGCAUGUGGUGGAGGAAAUUGAAAAACUUCAUCAAAGGGGGCUUCGGCUCCCGCUAGAAGAGGAGCCUGCGUGACAUUAGUUUGAUGGUGGGGUAACGGCCUACCAUGGCGAUGAUGUCUAGCUGGUCUGAGAGGAUGAUCAGUCACACUGGAACUGAGACACGGUCCAG
Molecule: ribosomal RNA, 310 nt
Filed under: uncultured bacterium
Lineage: Bacteria
Description: bacterial SSU rRNA
Rfam family: Bacterial small subunit ribosomal RNA
Source: RNAcentral